GACGAACGCUGGCGGCGUGCUUAACACAUGCAAGUCGAACGGAAAGGCCCUGCUUUUGUGGGGUGCUCGAGUGGCGAACGGGUGAGUAACACGUGAGUAACCUGCCCUUGACUUUGGGAUAACUUCAGGAAACUGGGGCUAAUACCGGAUAGGAGCUCCUGCUGCAUGGUGGGGGUUGGAAAGUUUCGGCGGUUGGGGAUGGACUCGCGGCUUAUCAGCUUGUUGGUGGGGUAGUGGCUUACCAAGGCUUUGACGGGUAGCCGGCCUGAGAGGGUGACCGGCCACAUUGGGACUGAGAUACGGCCCAGACUGCUACGAGAGGCAGCAGUGGGGAAUAUUGCACAAUGGGCGGAAGCCUGAUGCAGCAACGACGCGUGCGGGAUGACGGCCUUCGGGUUAUAAACCGCUUUCGCCUGUGACGAAGCGUGAGUGACGGUAAUGGGUAAAGAAGCACCGGCUAACUACGUG
Molecule: ribosomal RNA, 468 nt
Filed under: uncultured bacterium
Lineage: Bacteria
Description: partial 16S ribosomal RNA
Rfam family: Bacterial small subunit ribosomal RNA
Source: RNAcentral